CCGAUGGAGGAAAGGAUAGACAAGCAAGAUAAGAAGCGUACAAAUUAAACGAGAGCGAACCGUCAACGAGAGUUGAGAAGGUAAAGCUUCUGUUGGUAAAAUAUCGACAAGGCGCUUGCGCUAAAUCAAAAGAAUUUUACUACGGAGAGUUUGAUCCUGGCUCAGGAUGAACGCUAGCGGGAGGCCUAAUACAUGCAAGUCGAACGGCAGCGGUUGUAGCAAUACAAGCCGGCGAGUGGCGCACGGGGUGAGUAACGCGUACGCAACCUACCCCUUACCGGGGCAUAGUCACGGGAAACUGUGAAUAAUUCCGUAUGAGGUUGAGUUUCCGCAUGGGAGCUUUACCAAAGUCUUCGGGCGGUAAGGGAUGGGCGUGCGUCUGAUUAGCUAGUUGGUAGGGUAACGGCCUACCAGGCUACGAUCAGUAGGGGCGUGAGAGCGUGGCCCCCCACACGGGUACUGAGACACGGACCCGACU
This 478-nucleotide ribosomal RNA is filed under the name uncultured bacterium. RNAcentral's name for it is "bacterial SSU rRNA". The stretch from base 139 to 478 matches the Rfam family "Bacterial small subunit ribosomal RNA", at positions 1 to 337 of the family's 1533-position model. The record is from RNAcentral.